AGAAGGAGCUUGCUCCUUUGACGUUAGCGGCGGACGGGUGAGUAACACGUGGGCAACCUACCUUAUAGUUUGGGAUAACUCCGGGAAACCGGGGCUAAUACCGAAUAAUCUGUUUCACCUCAUGGUGAAAUAUUGAAAGACGGUUUCGGCUGUCGCUAUAGGAUGGGCCCGCGGCGCAUUAGCUAGUUGGUGAGGUAACGGCUCACCAAGGCGACGAUGCGUAGCCGACCUGAGAGGGUGAUCGGCCACACUGGGACUGAGACACGGCCCAGACUCCUACGGGAGGCAGCAGUAGGGAAUCUUCCACAAUGGGCGAAAGCCUGAUGGAGCAACGCCGCGUGAGUGAAGAAGGAUUUCGGUUCGUAAAACUCUGUUGUAAGGGAAGAACAAGUACAGUAGUAACUGGCUGUACCUUGACGGUACCUUAUUAGAAAGCCACGGCUAACUACGUGCCCGCACCCGCGGUAAUACGUAGGUGGCAAGCGUUGUCCGGAAUUAUUGGGCGUAAAGCGCGCGCAGGUGGUUUCUUAAGUCUGAUGUGAAAGCCCACGGCUCAACCGUGGAGGGUCAUUGGAAACUGGGAGACUUGAGUGCAGAAGAGGAUAGUGGAAUUCCAAGUGUAGCGGUGAAAUGCGUAGAGAUUUGGAGGAACACCAGUGGCGAAAGCGACUAUCUGGUCUGUAACUGACACUGACGCGCGAAAGCGUGGGGA
RNAcentral lists this ribosomal RNA (712 nucleotides) under Lysinibacillus sphaericus. RNAcentral's name for it is "bacterial SSU rRNA". It matches the Rfam family "Bacterial small subunit ribosomal RNA", at positions 71 to 767 of the family's 1533-position model. Lineage: Bacteria; Bacillati; Bacillota; Bacilli; Caryophanales; Bacillaceae. The record is from RNAcentral.